RNAcentral lists this small nuclear RNA (107 nucleotides) under Dasypus novemcinctus (nine-banded armadillo). The record is from RNAcentral. Lineage: Eukaryota; Metazoa; Chordata; Mammalia; Cingulata; Dasypodidae.
GUGCUCACUUCGGUAGCACAUAUACUAAAAUUGGAAUGAUAGAGAGAAGAUUAGCAUGGCCCCUGUGCAAGGAUGACAUGCAAAUUCAUAAAGCAUUCCCUAGUUUU